This 84-nucleotide transfer RNA is filed under the name Fasciola gigantica. Its description in RNAcentral is "tRNA-Ser". It matches the Rfam family "tRNA". Rfam says of the family: Transfer RNA (tRNA) molecules are approximately 80 nucleotides in length. Their secondary structure includes four short double-helical elements and three loops (D, anti-codon, and T loops). The record is from RNAcentral. Lineage: Eukaryota; Metazoa; Platyhelminthes; Trematoda; Plagiorchiida; Fasciolidae.
GGCCUCGUAGCUCACCUGGUGGAGCACUCACGGUACUAAAGCGAGGGUGGUGACCAUGCGUGAGUUCGAAUCCCACCGAGGCCA